AAAUUGACGGGACCCGCACAAGCGGUGGAUGAUGUGGAUUAAUUCGAUGCAACGCGAAAACCUUACCUACCCUUGACAUGUCCGGAAUCCCGAAGAGAUUUGGGAGUGCUCGCAAGAGAGCCGGAACACAGGUGCUGCAUGGCCGUCGUCAGCUCGUGUCGUGAGAUGUUGGGUUAAGUCCCGCAACGAGCGCAACCCUUGUCAUUAGUUGCCAUCAUUUGGUUGGGCACUCUAAUGAGACUGCCGGUGACAAACCGGAGGAAGGUGGGGAUGACGUCAAGUCCUCAUGGCCCUUAUGGGUAGGGCUUCACACGUCAUACAAUGGUCGGUACAGAGGGUUGCCAACCCGCGAGGGGGAGCUAAUCCCACAAAGCCGAUCGUAGUCCGGAUCGCAGUCUGCAACUCGACUGCGUGAAGUCGGAAUCGCUAGUAAUCGUGGAUCAGCAUGUCACGGUGAAUACGUUCCCGGGUCUU
RNAcentral lists this ribosomal RNA (474 nucleotides) under uncultured Rhodocyclaceae bacterium. Its description in RNAcentral is "bacterial SSU rRNA". It matches the Rfam family "Bacterial small subunit ribosomal RNA", at positions 908 to 1382 of the family's 1533-position model. The record is from RNAcentral. Lineage: Bacteria; Pseudomonadati; Pseudomonadota; Betaproteobacteria; Rhodocyclales; Rhodocyclaceae.